Molecule: ribosomal RNA, 275 nt
Filed under: uncultured bacterium
Lineage: Bacteria
Description: partial 16S ribosomal RNA
Rfam family: Bacterial small subunit ribosomal RNA
Source: RNAcentral
AUUGAACGCUGGCGGCGUGCCUAACACAUGCAAGUCGAGCGGUAACAGGUGUAGCAAUACAUGCUGACGAGCGGCGAACGGGUGAGUAAUGCUUCGGAAUCUACCCAAUGGUGGGGAAUAACCAGCCGAAAGGUUGGCUAAUACCGCAUACGUCCCACGGGAGAAAGCAGGGGAUCGCAAGACCUUGCGCCAAUGGAUGAGCCGAAGUCGGAUUAGCUAGUUGGAGGGUAACGGCCUACCAAGGCGACGAUCCGUAGCUGGUCUGAGAGGACGAC